CCACACUGCUAACCGUAACCUUAAACUACAACCAAAAAGCACAUUUUUGUUUGUAUGCAUUUUUAAGAUCUAGCCCAUUUCAGCUUUGUGGCUGUGGUAACUAAUGAUAACCGCCAGCUGGUUUCAUUUCUCCCCCUUCCUACGUGUAUAAAGAACUUUCGCGGGGUCAUUUUUGCCGCGAAUGUUCCAUGCAAAGGAAGAGCAGAGCAGUCUUUUCUUUAUUUUUUCUCCGAUACCGGUUAUUGCCAGACAUGCACACUGCAGCUCAGGAUAUGGUAAUACUGUAGCCUAGCUUCCAUUGUCAACAAAGCCGUUGCCUUUGUACUGACUACCACCGGGUUGGAGAACCACGGGCUUCUACCCCGAUACUCUCUGAUGACGUCUCUCCAACCUGGCUAUUCUGAUUGGCGGACUGAACGAAAAGGGGACGUCCCGUAUUCAUACAAUGGUAGUAAGAGUAAGAAAAAAUGGCAAGGCCCAAAUGUUGAAAUUGUGCAAAAUUAUAUAAUUGUAUUUUAUUCGCAUUUUGAUAAUGCGUUUGCUCGACGAUUUAUGGAAACACUGUCGAAAGCUUGUGCGUACUCUCCCGUUGGCGACCGCGGUUGAUCGGCGCGAACUUUAUUGCCAGUUCUUGACUACAUUGGCCGACCAGGGAAAAUCAGUCGUGGGCUAUAAAGGGCCUCGAGCACGACUGAAAAACCUCCUGACCAUAUGGAUAUCACUAGUGCUAGACUUGGACUGAAAUAAGUUCGAGUAGAGACCACCCCCCAGGCCGUGGCCAUGGUACCCACGUAAGCCCUGGGGUGGUACA
This is a non-coding RNA of Salmo salar (Atlantic salmon), 811 nucleotides long. The record is from RefSeq and is a predicted model, not a curated record. Lineage: Eukaryota; Metazoa; Chordata; Actinopteri; Salmoniformes; Salmonidae.